RNAcentral lists this non-coding RNA (30 nucleotides) under Mus musculus (house mouse). The record is from RNAcentral. Lineage: Eukaryota; Metazoa; Chordata; Mammalia; Rodentia; Muridae.
UUUGAUGUUUAGACCCCUCGGGUAGUUCCU